Molecule: ribosomal RNA, 497 nt
Filed under: uncultured bacterium
Lineage: Bacteria
Description: partial 16S ribosomal RNA
Rfam family: Bacterial small subunit ribosomal RNA
Source: RNAcentral
GAUGAACGCUGGCGGCGUGCCUAAUACAUGCAAGUCGAGCGAACAGACGAGGAGCUUGCUCCUCUGACGUUAGCGGCGGACGGGUGAGUAACACGUGGAUAACCUACCUAUAAGACGGGGAUAACUUCGGGAAACCGGAGCUAAUACCGGAUAAUAUAUUGAACCGCAUGGUUCAAUGGUGAAAGACGGUUUUGCUGUCACUUAUAGAUGGAUCCGCGCCGCAUUAGCUAGUGGGUAAGGUAACGGCUUACCAAGGCAACGAUGCGUAGCCGACCUGAGAGGGUGAUCGGCCACACUGGAACUGAGACACGGUCCAGACUCCUACGGGAGGCAGCAGUAGGGAAUCUUCCGCAAUGGGCGAAAGCCUGACGGAGCAACGCCGCGUGAGUGAUGAAGGUCUUCGGAUCGUAAAACUCUGUUAUUAGGGAAGAACAAAUGUGUAAGUAACUAUGCACGUCUUGACGGUACCUAAUCAGAAAGCCACGGCUAACUACGUG